RNAcentral lists this unclassified non-coding RNA (388 nucleotides) under soil metagenome. Its description in RNAcentral is "partial contains 5.8S ribosomal RNA, internal transcribed spacer 2, and large subunit ribosomal RNA". The stretch from base 2 to 121 matches the Rfam family "5.8S ribosomal RNA", at positions 35 to 154 of the family's 154-position model. The record is from RNAcentral.
GGAUGAAGAACGUAGCGAAAUGCGAUAAGUAAUGUGAAUUGCAGAAUUCAGUGAAUCAUCGAAUCUUUGAACGCACCUUGCACCCUUUGGUAUUCCGAAGGGUAUGCUCGUUUGAGUGUCAUUGUACUCUCACACUUCUAAUUCCUUUCGGGAUUGGGAGCGGUGGACUUGGGUGUUGCUGCUUUAGUUGUGGCUCACCUCAAAUAAGUUAGUGCAACUCUUGGUUGGACAUAGUACGGCGUGAUAAGUGUCUUCGCCGGCGCCUCUGUAAGGAGGGUGGCCGAUCGGGAGCUCUGUGCUUCAAACCGUCUUCGGACAAUCUUUGACAACUUGACCUCAAAUCGAGUAGGACUACCCGCUGAACUUAAGCAUAUCAAUAAGCGGAGGA